This 319-nucleotide unclassified non-coding RNA is filed under the name fungal sp. Its description in RNAcentral is "partial internal transcribed spacer region". The stretch from base 1 to 46 matches the Rfam family "Eukaryotic small subunit ribosomal RNA", at positions 1786 to 1831 of the family's 1831-position model. The record is from RNAcentral. Lineage: Eukaryota; Fungi.
AAGUCGUAACAAGGUUUCCGUAGGUGAACCUGCGGAAGGAUCAUUAACAUCUUUUUUGAUUUGUGUGGUGUUGUGUUAGAGUGAGUGUUUUCACUUGCUCUAUCACCACCCUCAACCCCAUUGUGUGCAUGUUUUGUGUGUGAGUAAGAGAUGGGUGCUUCUUGUACCUAGCUUUUCAUUCACUCACUCCAUCUAUUCAUUUCACAACCCAAACCCCUUCUUCUCAUCACACUAGACUGACUUACACCUCGUUUUACUCAGUCUACUGAGCAAAACAUCAAUCAGCAUACAACUCUUAGCAACGGAUAUCUAGGCUCUC